GAGGGUAUAGCUCAGUGGUAGAGUGCAUGCUUUAGCAUGCACAGGGUCCUGGGUUCCAUCCCCAGUACCUCCA
This 73-nucleotide transfer RNA is filed under the name Camelus dromedarius (Arabian camel). It matches the Rfam family "tRNA". Rfam says of the family: Transfer RNA (tRNA) molecules are approximately 80 nucleotides in length. RNAcentral also lists the same sequence under 1 other name. The record is from Rfam by way of RNAcentral. Lineage: Eukaryota; Metazoa; Chordata; Mammalia; Artiodactyla; Camelidae.